Long non-coding RNA from Oncorhynchus gorbuscha (pink salmon), 195 nucleotides. RefSeq lists it as uncharacterized. The transcript has 3 exons. The record is from RefSeq and is a predicted model, not a curated record. NCBI's taxonomy places the organism in Eukaryota, Metazoa, Chordata, Actinopteri, Salmoniformes, Salmonidae.
GGGCCAAGAGCAAAGGAGACGACCGCAAGGCACGCAUGCACCAGCGCAUCGUCAAGCAAUACCAGGAUGCCAUCAGGUCUCAUAAGGCUGGACGCCCAGUCAACCUGGCUGAUCUCCCUGUACCACCAGGCUGUCCUCCGCUGCAGGGCUCAGAGAGCAGCCAGCAGAACUUCAUGGGCGUCCUGGAGACGGCCG